AGAGACUGUUCAUGGUGCUGUGGGUCAAGGGAGUCACCUUCAAUGUUACCACCAUUGACACCAAGAGAUGGACCGAGAGAGUGCAGAAGCUGUGCCCAGGAGGGCAGCUCCCAUUCCUGCUGUAUGGCACUGAAGUGCACACAGACACCAACAAGAUGGAGGAAUUUCCGGAGGCAGUGCUGUGCCCUCCCAGAUACCCCAAGCUGGCAGCUCUGAACCCUGAGUCCAACACAGCCAGGCUGGACAUAUUUGCCAAAUUUUCUGCCAACAUCAAGAAUUCAAACCCAGCACUCAAUGAUAAUCUGGAGAAGGGACUCCUAGAAGCCCUGCAGGUUUUAGACAAUUACUUAACAUCCCCCCUCCCAGAAGAAGUGGAUGAAACCAGUGCUGAAGAUGAGGGCAUCUCUCAGAGGAAGUUUCUGAAUGGCAACGAACUCACCCUGGCUGACCGCAACCUGUUGCCAAAGCUGCACAUAGUACAGGUGGUGUGUAAGAAGUACCGGGGAUUUACCAUCCCCGAGGCCUUCCCCGGAGUGCAUAGGCACUUGAGCAAUGCUUAUGUGUGGGAAGAAUCUGCCUCCACCUGCCCAGGUGGCGAGGAGAUCAAGCUCGCCUAUGAUUAA
This is an RNA transcript of Mandrillus leucophaeus (drill), 623 nucleotides long. It is a transcript of the gene named chloride intracellular channel protein 1 pseudogene, with no coding region annotated. The record is from RefSeq and is a predicted model, not a curated record. The transcript has a single exon. NCBI's taxonomy places the organism in Eukaryota, Metazoa, Chordata, Mammalia, Primates, Cercopithecidae.